RNAcentral lists this ribosomal RNA (229 nucleotides) under Cytobacillus firmus. RNAcentral's name for it is "Bacillus firmus partial 16S ribosomal RNA". It matches the Rfam family "Bacterial small subunit ribosomal RNA", at positions 100 to 322 of the family's 1533-position model. Lineage: Bacteria; Bacillati; Bacillota; Bacilli; Caryophanales; Bacillaceae. The record is from RNAcentral.
GGACGGGUGAGUAACACGUGGGCAACCUGCCUGUAAGACUGGGAUAACUCCGGGAAACCGGGGCUAAUACCGGAUAACUCUUUUCCUCACAUGAGGAAAAGCUGAAAGAUGGUUUCGGCUAUCACUUACAGAUGGGCCCGCGGCGCAUUAGCUAGUUGGUGAGGUAACGGCUCACCAAGGCCACGAUGCGUAGCCGACCUGAGAGGGUGAUCGGCCACACUGGGACUGA